UUGACCGGCCGUCGUGCCUCGCGCGGGAGGAUGGACGACGCUCACCGGGGCGUCUGCGGCGGAGAUGGCUUCUGCCGCGUGUCGAGGUGGAGCAGCAGAGGACGGGAAGGCAAGAAGGCAGGAUGGGUACGCUGUGCACCAGGGCCGCCUUCGUCCUCCACCUCCUCCAAAAGCGCGCGCUCGCCGCGGGUACUGGCGGUGGCACGGCGGUCCUCGCCCUUGGGUGCGCGGACGCGUCGGGGAUCGAGGAAGCUCUCCUCCCUCGCGGCUGGAGGCGCUCGGGAUCGAGCGAGUGGGCGAGGGGAUCGGGGCCCCUGGUGGCUGCCUGCUUGGCGAUUGCACGAGAUGCUGGGCUGGCCGACUCGAUCUCCUCGACCCAGGGCCCGUGCUCGUCAGCGCCUGCCCCAUCGCGCAUGACUUCUCUGAUCCAGCGCGCAGUGAGGGCGCGGCCGCUGCCAGUCUCGCCGCCGCCCUGUCACGGAUCGCCACGCCCAUCUCCUCUGAUCUGAACACCUCUCCUACAUCCCCUGUUGCGAUCAUCCCUUGCUUAACGAGAAAAAAAAUCCAAUGCCUACACACAUGUAUUCUCCCUCGCAAACUAUACAGUUCCUACAAGCCAUGGCGACAUUCACCUGCAACUAUUUGGACAAGGACUGGGAGGAGUGGACCAUGGCUGCACCGAGGUCCACCCACUAGCGGCCGGCCACCAUGGCUGCAACGAGGAUUCCCUCACCAAGCCUCGCCGGCGUUCUGGAUCACCAAGGUACUUCUACUUAUUUGUCUCUACAAGAUUGUUGCAUAUGUUUUUUCUGCUUUUCCACUUAAUGGUGUUAACCUUCUUUUAGGUACUUCCUGCUCCAGGAUUUUCUUGUUGAGAAAACACAAAAAUAUAAAUAUGAAUAUAUGCCCAUGAAGCUGCUCUGGUUUGUCUUUUAGAGUUUAGUCCCAUUUACUCGUGUCGUUCUACAAUAAUAACAUAAUUGAUAUCAAUUAGACUUCUUUGAGUUUACUGAAAUUUAAUGGUUUGCCAUGGAAUAUGAAAUUUGACAAUGACACCUGCUGAACUAAAAAUAAUCUAGCGAGCAAUAGUAUAUAAUGAAUAGUUAUUACCGUAUCGGCAUCACAUUGCUCUAUGGAUGAAUAACAUGACAAUAAACUGGCAAAAUGGAAAGGCUUUGUUUAGUGUGGGUACCAAGCAGGAAAGUAGUUAACGGAGAUAGACUAUUUGACAGUUGCACAACUGGAGUGAGAUACUAUUUGUUUUCUUGUAUAGUGAAGAUGGCCUAUUUUGUGGUGUAAUAUAACUAUGGUAGCUCUCUGGAGUGAGAAUGCCGAAGCCCUAAAAAAAGCCAUCAGCACGGAGUUCCUGCCAUUAAGGAAAAAAACUAGCAGAGAAACAGCUCGGGAAAUCGUAAGUUUAUCUUGCUUUUUGAAUGUGCAGCCUGUAACCAGAGAAGCUUGUUCUAAUUAUAGUAUGCUUAUUUUCCCUGAGCUGUUUCUCUGCUAGCUAUUGUUCUCAAGCAACUAACAAACUAUGUAUAGAAGAAGUCUUAGUAGGGAGCUAUUUUGAAACAAGAUGAGGAAACCCUCAAGGAUUUAAACAGUAAAAUACGAACCUGCACAUGAUCAUAUAAUGUACGGAUCACAGGCUGGCCAAAGCCUUCUUUCAAGUCUCCUAACAUUGUCUGCUUAAUUUUCACUACCUGCAAGUACAACUAGCUAGAAAUUUGGGUAUGCUGCUAUGUGCCUUGAGUUUGUAAGACAAGUUCUCUUUGCUUCGAGGAGAGUUUGACCACUCAUAUCUCUCUUUUUCUUGCAACCUGCACUUAGUAGGUUGCUUUUUCUAUGAUAUAUAUUGUUUCAUUCUGGUUGCUGAAUAUGAUAGUCGUAGCCCGUCAGAAAAAUAUGUCAGCCGAUUGAUUCUUCGUAAAAGGUAUAGUGACUGUUGAAAAGUUUACCUGAUCUUCCAUUUAUAUUUUUCAAAAGACAGUCCUAGAGAUGUUGCUUUAUUUUUCUGCUUAUUGCAUUUAUUGGAGCACCUGCAAUGGGAAAAUUGAAUGUUUGAAUGUUCCUCUUGCUGUUGACCACACUACAGUUGAUUAUAUCUCAUUGAGACCUGAAUCAUCUUCCAUGGUUAUUCAACAUUGAAGCUGCUUGCAUUGAUCCACAAUACAUCUUGACUUCAGCGAAAAAUGAGGUUCUGUACACACUAUUUUCAGAAGCUUGUGUGGCAGCAACAAUAUUUGUGCCACGACAUGUAAUCGAAACAGAGGGAAAAACUUUGUAGAGAUCGAAGUUUCACUGUUACAAACACAAUAAAGGUUUCAUGGUGGCAGUGCCUUCUUCUACAUGAUGGGAAUUCGACGGCAUUUUGUUGUUUUGUUGUUAAAUACCAACUGGGCAUGUCGUUUAUUCACAGAUCAACUAAUAUGACCAUCUCUUGCAGACAAAACGCUCGGGGAAAGUCCCAGCCGUGCACCUGUGAUCGCUGGAACGACAUACUGUUUUAGGAAUGCAAUACAGACUGGUCAGGAGGUUUGUGUCUAUAGGAUUGAAUUACAUGAUAUGUCAAAAUGGUGGUCUUUAUUAUGCAAUUUAACUGAUCUCUUGUUGAACCCCUCCUUUUCCAGAAAAAAACUAUUAUUUAAUCUUUGAAGUUUAA
Long non-coding RNA from Triticum dicoccoides, 2662 nucleotides. RefSeq lists it as uncharacterized. NCBI's taxonomy places the organism in Eukaryota, Viridiplantae, Streptophyta, Magnoliopsida, Poales, Poaceae. The record is from RefSeq and is a predicted model, not a curated record. The transcript is spliced from 3 exons.